Molecule: ribosomal RNA, 500 nt
Filed under: uncultured Glomeromycotina
Lineage: Eukaryota; Fungi; Glomeromycota
Description: partial small subunit ribosomal RNA
Rfam family: Eukaryotic small subunit ribosomal RNA
Source: RNAcentral
CCAAUAGCGUAUAUUAAAGUUGUUGCAGUUAAAAAGCUCGUAGUUGAAUUUCGGGGUCAGUAGGUUGGUCAUGCCACUGGUAUGUACUGGUCUCACUGAUUCCUCCUUCCUGAUGAACUGUAAUGCCAUUAAUUUGGUGUUGCAGGGAAUCUGGACUGUUACUUUGAAAAAAUUAGAGUGUUUAAAGCAGGCUAACGCCUGAAUACAUUAGCAUGGAAUAAUGAAAUAGGACGUUCGAUCCUAUUUUGUUGGUUUCUAGGAUUGACGUAAUGAUUAAUAGGGAUAGUUGGGGGCAUUAGUAUUCAAUUGUCAGAGGUUAAAUUCUUGGAUUUAUUGAAGACUAACUACUGCGAAAGCAUUUGCCAAGGAUGUUUUCAUUAAUCAAGAACGAAAGUUAGGGGAUCGAAGACGAUCAGAUACCGUCGUAGUCUUAACCAUAAACUAUGCCGACUAGGGAUCGGAUGAUGUUAAUUUUUUAAUGACUCAUUCGGCGCCUUACG